Molecule: long non-coding RNA, 1101 nt
Filed under: Ursus maritimus (polar bear)
Lineage: Eukaryota; Metazoa; Chordata; Mammalia; Carnivora; Ursidae
Description: lncRNA (ENSUMAG00000006756.1)
Source: RNAcentral
AUGGGCAAGAGCGAUCCAUUUCCUCACAAGGAGGGGAAGAGAGCAGGGUCAUACGUGAGCAUGGAUACCAGGAGGAGGAUGAUUGGGGGCCAUCUUAAAGGCUGCUCACCACACUGGGGGAUGAUGCCCUGUGGACUAGGGCACCUUCUAAUUUUCCAGAGUUCCAGGCUGUGCCCAUUGGCCCGGGCUGGGGACUCUCUGAGCCAGAACCAUCAGCUUCCAGAAGGGGGGCAGGCUGUAGACCCAUCAUCAGCCCCAGAUCUGGAUGAAGCCAGGAGUGACCGAGACCCAAGGUGGAAGAGCCCUGCUACGCCUGCAGGGCCCACAUGCGGUUGCUUACAAGAGCUGAACCCCACCACCGGCAGUAGCUUUGGGGAUCUAGGAGGCUCUGAGUUCAAGGACUUGGCCCAGAGGGAAGAGAGGAGACAAGCAGCACCUACAACCCAGAGGCCAUCCACUAGCCUAUGGGGGAGGAAGCUCGCUCAGGGAGCCCCGAGGCCCUCAGGCCUGCCCUCCCAGGGCCUGUCAGAACCCCACGAUCCCCCCGAGGGGCUGAGCUGGAGCCUGGGCCAGGAGAGAGCAGAACUUCAGAAACUGCUGAGGCUAGGGAUUCCUCAGAGGCAGAGAGAGGAGGCUCCUCAAGAGCAGAAAGAGCGCCCCGGGGUUCAGAGGGGGGAGGUCCGCAGGGGGGAGAGCAAGGAAGUUCCUAAGAGACCCACAGAGAAGAUACAGCAGGGCCAGAGGGGGGAGGCUACUCAGGCUCUGAGGGAGGAAGUCUCUGUGGAUCCCAGGGGGCAGGCUCCCGAGGGUGAGAGGAGAGAGUCUCCUCAACGUCAAAGAGGAAACAGCCCUGAGGGGCAGAGAAAAGAGGUCCUCCGGGAGCCGAGGAAGGAGACUCCUCAGGGCCGGGAAGGGAAGAGCCCUCAAACUUCCCCAGCCUGCCUCUCACAAGCCUGGGAGGUGCCUCAGGGAGAGGCGCCUGCAGAGCCCCCGGCGGAAGGCGGCUCCCUGGGGAUUUCUGGGGAUUUCUGCAGGCCCCUGGGAGAACAGAUGCCGCAGCCUGGGGGAAGGGAGAGCCCUGGCUCCGGGGAAAGGACCACC